Molecule: non-coding RNA, 27 nt
Filed under: Mus musculus (house mouse)
Lineage: Eukaryota; Metazoa; Chordata; Mammalia; Rodentia; Muridae
Source: RNAcentral
UAGGACCAGGCCCCUCCAGCUACUAGC